UCGCGAAAACUUCACAAUGGGGGCAACCCCGAUGAGGGAAUUCCUAGUGCUAGCACAUUUGUGUUAGCUUUUCUUUAGCUUAGAAAACUAGAGGAAUAAGGGCUGGGUAAGACGGGUGCCAGCCGCCGCGGUAAUACCUGCAGCCCAAGUGGUGGUCGAUUUUAUUGAGUCUAAAACGUUCGUAGCCGGUUCGGUAAAUCUUUGGGUAAAUCGGGGGGCUUAACCUUCCGACUUCCGAGGAGACUGCCGAACUUGGGAUCGGGAGAGGCUAGAGGUACUUCUGGGGUAGGGGUAAAACCCUGUAAUCCUAGAAGGACCACCGGUGGCGAAGGCGUCUAGCUAGAACGGAUCCGACGGUGAGGGACGAAGCCCUGGGUCGCAAACGGGACUAGAUACCCCGGUAGUCCAGGGUGUAAACGCUGCAGACUUGGUGUUGGAGGCCCUUUGGGGGCAUUCAGUGCCGGAGAGAAGUUGUUAAGUCUGCUACUUGGGGAGUACGUCCGCAAGGAUGAAACUUAAAGGAAUUGGCGGGGGAGCACCGCAACGGGAGGAGCGUGCGGUUUAAUUGGAUUCAACACCGUAAAACUCACCAGGGAAGACUGUUACAUGAAGGCCGGGCUAAAGACUCUGCCAGAUUUUCA
This 641-nucleotide ribosomal RNA is filed under the name uncultured euryarchaeote. Its description in RNAcentral is "bacterial SSU rRNA". It matches the Rfam family "Archaeal small subunit ribosomal RNA", at positions 339 to 981 of the family's 1478-position model. Lineage: Archaea; Methanobacteriati; Methanobacteriota. The record is from RNAcentral.